RNAcentral lists this long non-coding RNA (232 nucleotides) under Lathyrus oleraceus (garden pea). RNAcentral's name for it is "Pisum sativum (pea) long non-coding RNA (PSAT_LNC000833)". Lineage: Eukaryota; Viridiplantae; Streptophyta; Magnoliopsida; Fabales; Fabaceae. The record is from RNAcentral.
AAAAUUCCAUGCCAAGUCUUAUUCAUUCCAUCAUAUGCCAUUAGCCUUCUAGCAAAAAACAAAAAAAAAUUCAACAUGAUACACAACCAAACAAGUCAUACCAUAUAUAUACACACUAUUAAACAUAAGUCGACCUUAGCAUGACAAACACUUUCAAUCCAAAUUAGCAUCAACUAAGCAAUAAUUAACUUUAUCAUAGCAUUGCAAAUACAUUAACAUAAUAACAAUUCCU